UAUGGCCACAUCACUUUGAAAGACCGGUUCCGGUACGAUAACCAAAGUUAAACAACGUCGAGCCUGGUCAGUAUUUAGAUGGGUGACCGCUGGGGAUAUCAGGUGCGGUAA
Non-coding RNA from Acanthosepion pharaonis, 111 nucleotides. The record is from the annotation of a GenBank genome assembly. Lineage: Eukaryota; Metazoa; Mollusca; Cephalopoda; Sepiida; Sepiidae.